AAAUGAUCUUUCCUAAAAGUGUACUGACCCAAGGUCUACUUCUCUUUGUUGGUCGUCAGGGAGCUGCGCAAGCGUAGCGGCCACCGGGAGGAGUCGUCGGUCGUCAAGGAGCUCCAAGAAGGCAGCGGUGAUUGGAGUGGACUGCCUUGGGUUUUGACGUGCGAGUGUGCGCAGGAACUCCAGUUCAUGUCUCAAGAUAUCAUUUUCCUAAAAGAGUUAAUCCCAAGCAGUACAGACUCUCAAGCAUCAGGGUUGCCUUCUUGUGCCCACAAGGAAAUUCGGAGUUGUGUUCGCCUCAAUUUCUGCACCAAUCUUUGCAGCUCUGUAUUGUCCAACAAAAAUUUGUCGGUGGGUGCAAGGAUCAUAACUCCUGAUGCUGAUCGGACUGAAUCAAGGAUCAUGCUGGAGACAGCACAAAAUCUGAAAUGGACUCUACGAACAGCCGAUGUUUUCUCGGAUUAAUACAGUUAAAAGCCAAGGGAUAAGAAAAGCCUCAAAGACAAAGUAAAGAAGACGCCUUCAUGCGAGCUCUAAAGCCGAAGAUGGCGAGGAUCCCAAGGAAGCAGAAUUAAACCUUAGAAGCUUUCCAUAUCGUCUUCUAGCGAAGGAGGCCCAAGGUGGACUCCAACAAGGGAAGUUCUACAUGAUACGACGUAGAUAUAAAAAGACCAAAUUGUACUUAAUUAAUUGAGAAGUGUUAUUGUGUAGUAUGGCUGGCAGAGCGGUAGUUUCAUCCCAAGUUGUAUACCGGCCCGGUCUUAUAAAUAGAUGGACAAUAUUAUUGUUGUAA
This is a long non-coding RNA of Zea mays, 790 nucleotides long. RefSeq lists it as uncharacterized. The transcript has 6 exons. The record is from RefSeq and is a predicted model, not a curated record. Lineage: Eukaryota; Viridiplantae; Streptophyta; Magnoliopsida; Poales; Poaceae.